UACGGAGGGUGCGAGCGUUGUCCGGAUUUAUUGGGUUUAAAGGGCGCGCAGGUGGCCCGUUCAGUCAGUGGUGAAAUGCGGCCGCUCAACUGUCGAACUGCCAUUGAUACUGCCUGGCUUGAGAGGAGUGGAGGGCGCCGGAAUGGACGGUGUAGCGGUGAAAUGCAUAGAUAUCGUCCAGAACGCCGAUUGCGAAGGCAGGUGGCUACGCUUCGUCUGACACUGAGGCACGAAAGCGUGGGGAGCGAACAGG
Molecule: ribosomal RNA, 253 nt
Filed under: uncultured bacterium
Lineage: Bacteria
Description: partial 16S ribosomal RNA
Rfam family: Bacterial small subunit ribosomal RNA
Source: RNAcentral